UAUGCGCUCUUGCCGUUAAAAACCCCGAAAGGAGGCCUUUUAUAAGAAUGCGUGAUGACGUCGCAAAUGAUGAGCCGCAAACACACACGCGCACACAAACUAAUAACGUCUACUUGUCGACAUGAAAGUGAAACGCUUGGUCACCCACCCCCAAGUGAGUGUCCCGGGAGGCGGCAGGGUCUGUCCGGGUGUCUGGCCGGGCCGAGGCGGAGAGGUCGGGCCGGCAGGAAAACGAAGUGAGAGGAGCAGCAGACAAGAGGGAGGAGUGAGGGAGGGGGGGGGGGAUAACGGAGAGGGAGGGACGCAGAUGACGUUCAAGCACAUGAGAGAGCAUUUUGGCUGACACAUACACACUCACUCACGCGCGCACACACACACACACACACACAUCCGCGCCUCGUUUCCGCUCCGGGAGAAGUUUAAUCGCCACCCCCCUAUCCACCCCCUCCACCCCCGUCCCCAGUCUGUCCUGGUGACUCCUGCAGACUGGUUAAACUCUUCUUCAAUCACAUAGACAUUCAUUCUCUGUAAUUUUCCUGGGUGAUAAGACUACUCCUCCUCUUGGCUAUGUAUAUCCCGUUUUGACCUUUGACCCCCUUGUUAUUUGUAAACACUUAACCUCCUGCUGUGCCCAUUUACUGUUAAUUUUCAUUUGGUUGUAAAAUGAACCUUAUCGAUCACACUGUGUCUAUAAAAACUUGUUUAACCGAA
Long non-coding RNA from Thunnus maccoyii (southern bluefin tuna), 711 nucleotides. RefSeq lists it as uncharacterized. NCBI's taxonomy places the organism in Eukaryota, Metazoa, Chordata, Actinopteri, Scombriformes, Scombridae. The transcript has 2 exons. The record is from RefSeq and is a predicted model, not a curated record.